CCUGCUUUUUAGGGCUGCACCUGAGGCACAUGGAAGUUUCCAGUCUAGGGAACAAAUCAGAGGCACAGCUGCUGACCUAUGCCUCAGCCACAGCAACUUGGGAUCUGAGCUGCAUCUGCAACUUACACCACACCUCACGGCAAUCCCCACGGAGUGAGGCCAGGGAUCAAACACGAAUCCUCAUGGAUACUAGUUGGAUUUGUUUCUGCUGCUCCAUGACAGGAACUCCCCAUAUUUAUUUUUUUAACUUAAUUUUAUUGGAGAAUAGUUGACUUACAAUCUUGUAUUAGUUUCAGGUGUACAGCAAAGUGAAUCAGUCAUAUGUAUAAAUAUACCACUCUCUUUCCCCAUAUAGGUUAUUACAAACUAUUGAGUAGAUUUUUCUGUGCUAUACAGUAGGUUCUAAUUAAUCAGACCUCUGAAUUCUCCACACAGGUUGUUCCAUCCUAGAAUUAUUUCCUUUCACAUUUCUUCUCCUGAAAAUUCUUGCUCCUUCCUUAAAAUAUCCCCUUUAAAACCUGGUAAACUUUUCACUAACUUGCCCCAUCAGAAUUAAUUGCUUUCUCCCCUAGACCCCACCAGCCAUCUAUUGGCUUGGCUACUGUUGUUACUCUAAGACUGCACUGUAGGUUUUUUGUUUGUUUAUUUGUUUGUUUUUUGGCAUGCCCAUGGCAUGUGGAAGUUCCUUGGCCAGGGGUCAAACCCCCACCACAGCAGCAACUGAGCUGCUGCAGUGAAAAUGCCAGAUCCUUAACCCGCUGAGCCACAAGAGAACUCUUAGAAUUUAUUUAUUUAUUUUGCUUUUGUAGGGCCACACCCGUGGCAUAUGGAGGUUCCCAGGCUAGGGGUCCAAUCGGAGCUGUAGCCACUGGCCUACACCUCAGCCACAGCAACAUGGAAUCCGAGCUGUGUCUGUGACCUACACCACAGCUCACGGCAAGGCUGGAUCCUUAACCCACUGAGUGAGGCCAGGGAUCAAACCAGCAACCUCAUGGUUCCUAGUCGGAUUCGUUUCAGCUGCACCACAACUGGAACUCCAGAAUUUACUCUUAAUAGUAUCAUGCCCUAAAGGUUGGGAGCAGUGCUCUGGAGUUCAACCCCUCCCUGCUGAAUGACCUUUGACAAGGUAAACGGUCUUCACCUCCUCAAGUUUUGGUUCCCUUGCCUGUGAAACACAGGCUGGUAGUAGCUAAACUCAACCUCUUGAGAGGUUUCAAGAAAACAAUGGCUGAGCAGAGUACCUGGAGCAAAGGAAGCAAGCACUCCAUAAAUAGUAGCUGCCAAAGCGACAGUGAUGAUAAGGAUGACACAGUCAGAAUAGACUGUGGUCCUUUUGAAGGCUGGGUCCACGUCGGUUUACCUGCAGCAUCGCAAAAACUGACCUGACCCCUUGUCCUCCCUCCAGGCCUGAUUUUUAAUUCAAUUCAAAGCUGGGUGUUGGAAAAUACCUGGAUUGCUUCUCUAAUCGUACUUCUUCUCUCUUUUNNNNNNNNNNNNNNNNNNNNNNNNNNNNNNNNNNNNNNNNNNNNNNNNNCGGGAUCCGAGCCGCGUCUGCAACCUACACCACAGCUCACAGCAACGCCGGAUCGUUAACCCACUGAGCAAGGGCAGGGACCGAACCCGCAACCUCAUGGUUCCUAGUCGGAUUCGUUAACCACUGCGCCACGACGGGAACUCCUCUAAUCGUACUUCUUAUCAUCACUGUCCUGACUGAGUUUCUUGCUCAUUUUCACAUGGUCGACAGCAAGAGCCUCCCACUCAGAAUGUCCCACCUGGUCUCUUUCUGAUUUUGCAUCCUGUAGCCUGCUCCCUCCGUGUGGCCAGAGUGAUCUUCUCAGGGAAUAAUCUCAUCAAACCACUCCUCUCCUGGCUCCUUUAACUCACUGUGGCCCCCAGGCUUAGCACACAGCCUCCCUUCCAUGACCUGGGGCCUCCGUAGUUUAAACCCAGCCCAGCCACGAGCCUCUUCCCAGGCAGCAUCCUCACUAAGACAGCUCACAGCAGCCUCUGCACCUGCCUCUCCCUAGAACACCGAAGAGGCACAGGGCCUUCCAUGACUUUGCUUUCUUCUUCUCUUCCUUUCCUACCUGAAAGGAAUGGCCCAUAUUUCAGGGCAUAGCAAAGGUCACCCACCCCUUGGCAGUUGUCCCUAACCUCUCCCCAAAUCCUGGAAAGAGAAUCCCCCCAUCUCUCCCUUGGGGAGGGGGCUGGACAUGUAUUCACAGCUGAUGUUAUGAUUCCUGUCUCUUUAGCUAGAGGGUGAGGUGCUUAAGGAUAAGGCUGAAAUUGCAUCUCUAUUUCCUCCGUGUCUGGCACAAGCCUAACAAGGGUACCUGCUUAAUUCCUCUUUGAAAGAAAGAUCCAAAGAACAGAUUGAAUAAAUCCAAAAAACAAAGGGGUGGGGGGAGCUUCUAAUGGAGGAUUUCUGCUACCUAAAUCUUUCCUCUCAGUUUUCUCUACAAUUCUCAGAAUAAAAGGAAGGAUGGCAGAGAGCAGGCUGCAAGCUUAUAGUUAUGCUGAUUUAUUCCAACUGUCAGUUUAAUUAUGAAUUAUUAAUUACCAAACAGGUACAAUGUUAGUAGAUUCCAAACCGCCCUGCCUCGGUGGCAGAGGAGAAUUACGACUGAUGCUUGAUUCAGACGACUCUGCAGUCUGAAGGUUUAUGCUGCUGAGACCUUAGAGGUAAGUCUUUUCAAGGAGAAGCCAUAAGUAACACGCAGAACGUUUGAGUUCUUAAGGGAAUCCACAUUAGCAAAUAAAUAAAAAUUACCUGGCUUAUAAAUCUGCCAUAUUUUGGAUUAUUUCUGCAUUAGGAACUGGCCUGAAAUUUCACUGCACAUAUUUUACCAAAAUACACACUGGGAAAAAUAGUGUACUUUCUAACUACACUGCAUUCUCUUGAGAAAACUGUACUACUUGUUUUCCAGUAUUUUUCAGCUUGUUAAAAAAUAGUUCUGGGCUUAGAAAUGUCAAUACUUUUUUUCACUUUUACAAAGCAACAACUUCAGUGAACCUUCCAAAAUAGUCUGAGAAUAAUGUCUGCUUUUGCUGAUGGGUUAAGACAUCUGAAAUUCUUUUUCUCUAAACCCAAGAGUCUUCCUGGUAGUAAGAUCGGCACGGCUGAGGGGGGAGGGUGGGGGGCAUAGCUGGUCAGUGGAGGAUGAGUUUGGACCUUGUAGCUCUGAUGCACAUGGACAGAUGGCUCAGUACAGCCCUGGAUGCAAAGCUAUCAGCUCCAUACAUGCUAUGUUUCAUCUGAUAAUUUCAAAGGUCCUGGAUUGAGAGAUAUUUAUAAAAUUCUAUGGAUAUUUGGGGGACAUCUUCAUUCCCCAGGUGCUUGGUCAUUGUCACCCAUAAGCAGGGAACUUUCCGGAAUGGCAUCAUGAAGGUUAAUCCAAACAUUUCACCGAGCCCCAAGCUGUGCCCCCGUCCAUCCUCUGCAGGCCAAUAGUGUUCUCUGUCCUUUAUGAAAAGAGGAAAGGUAAGGACAGUCAAGGCUGUGGGUCAACAGUAAGACGAGAAACACAGAGAGCGAAGGGGGAAAAAGGAAAGUUCUUUCUGUUCUCUAUUAUCAUGUCAUUAUUAAUACGUGAUAUGCAAUAAUACCUAUCACGUAUUAAUAUACAACUUGAGUAUUUCCAAGUUGCUUACACAUGCAUUAUCUCACUGCCUCCUCACAAACUGUGUGUUACAUAGAACAAAUAUUCUCACUAUUAAAAAUGAAGAAGCUGAGGCAUAGGGAGGGUUAAGUAAAUUGCCGAAAGUCAUGUGGUUAGUAAACUGCGGAAUUCUUUAUUGUGCUGCCUCUUUGUUUAACCUCUUAUCAAUGUCCCAACCACAAUAUUUGCAUUUGCAUCUUCUGUUUCCUCUGCUCCAAAGGUCCCACUGCAUCCGCCUUCACAGCAACACCAGCCGUAAACAAAACCACCUCCUCUGGCUGGCUUUCGCAGCACCCUGCCUGCCACCAGGGUGGGCAACCAUCUCUGUCAUCUUGGUUCCUCCAGCGCCAUGUUGGCCGAGGGAGGUACCCAACACUUAAAUGCUGAAAUGACUCAAAGAAAAUGGUGGGACCCAGAACAGUCUAAUCAAAGGGUCACAAAUAGCACAUGUAUUUUCAGUCACAUCUGCAGACAUUAAGAACCCUCCUCUGAGGUAGUGCAUGUGUCUGGCUAUCUUCAGUUGAUGGGUGUGUGUUAAAAUGUGUCCUCACAUGAUUGGGCAGGUUGAUCAAUGCAUAACUACAAAGACUCCAAAUUGUGGUCAUGUUAGAUGGAUAGAUGGUCAGGUAGGUUGGUCGGUAGAUAGGUACAGGCAUAUAGAUAACACAUCUAUAUCUGUAUAGUUAGGGAUAUAGUUAUAGACAUGGAUAAGAUACUGUCUCUCUCUGUAAGUGUAUACACACGUACAUACAUACACACACAUACUGAAAGACAGACACACUUUUAGCAGAUUGCAGUCCAUAUCUUGAGGACAAAAGCCAUCUUUGGGCACUGGAUUACCAUCAGGUAUAUCACAUUCUCCCUCAACCCUCAGCAUGGCCCACUGCUCUUCAACAUACCAGUGUGUCUUGAACCUCGCCUCCCUCUCCACUCCUGCUGCCACUGGCUUAGUGGAGAAGCUCAUCGUCCCUUUCUUGGAAUAUUACAAGUCUCCUCAUCUCUCUGUCUACCUUGAGUUUCAUAACUCAAACCCUAUCCAUCCACUGGGGGUACCUCUCAAAAUCUUGUUUCUGCCUAACACCCCAAACUUUUCCCCUGCCAAAGACUAUGAAGUCCAACUUCUUAGCAGGAUUUACACAGGACUCCGUCUGGCCAUAGCUGCAGUGCCAACCCCACCUCUAACAAGGAGCCCACCCCUCUCUCUGGAGCUACAUCAUUCUCUCUCCCCUGUGCCUUCAUGUCCCGUAUUCCCUCUACCUGAGAAACCCCCACUUCUGUGCCCCAUGAGCUGCUCAUCCUUCAACACUCAACUCCAAGAUGGGUUCCUUUAUGAUGCUCUUUCUUCUGUUUGCAAGGCUUUGUUGUUUAUGUCUUUAUCACACCAUUUAUAUUUACAACUGAGCCAUUCCACGGACGGAGUCUGCUAUAUUUAUCCUUGUAUUCCUAUGAUAACACCAAGCCUGACAUGAAGCAGCUUCCUUCGCCCAAAAUAUAGUGCAUAAUGCGGAGGUUUUUUGAAGUGUGUCUUACAAUCUUUUUAAAUCUCUGUCUUAUAAACAUCUUACCCUCGAUGUUUGACACUUGUCCUUUCUCUUCCCUGAAAUAUUCUCCACCUUAUUCUGCCAUAUGUUUUUUUCCUUCUGGGUUGCGUAUUCACGUUACUUCCUCAGAGAGGUCUUCGCCAAUGACUUCAGACCCCUCACACACACCUGAUUCAGGUCUUCUUGCAAUCUCUUCUCAGCCUUUAAAUUGUCUUCCAUAAUUCUUUUCGACUUUUGUCCUUUUAUAUUCAUAUGUAUGAUUAUUUCUUUAAAGUCAUUUUGGCCCUGGACUUUGUAAAGCACAAUACUCCCAGCAUGCUGGACGAUGCUUGGCACAUAAUAGAUGCUUAAUAAAAAUGUAUUAUAUGAAUAAGUAUAUAUCAUCAAGACUGUGCUGUACAUACCACUGUGUACUUGUGAGUACGCAAGCCUGAGAUGGAAAAUGCUUUUCUACAGGAGAAAUAUAUCUUUGUACAAAGGUAAUUGGGACCGGAACUCUGGACUUACUAGCACACAAAGUUGAUAUGACAAGGUUGCAACAGCGUAUAAGGGACCAGGUACCACAUCUUAGGUUCUGGAGUCUAGGAGACUGUAACCUUGGAUAAUAUUGGCUUAGACCCUCUCAGCCUCUGGUUCUUUAUUUGUAGGAUAAAGAAGAUAGAAUUUAUCUUUCUAAGUCGUUGUAAGAGUUAAGUGUAAAUGUCCAUAGCACACUAGCAGAGUGCCUGGAAAUGAGUAAGCACUAAAUAAAUAUUAGAUGUUAUUGUUCAUUUUUUUAAUACUCAUGGUUAAUAGUAAACAUACUAUUUAGAAUCUGAUAAAUGGCUUCAUCUGUGCCUAACUGCUCAUUUUCUAAAUCUUGGUUCCUU
This 6069-nucleotide long non-coding RNA is filed under the name Sus scrofa (pig). RNAcentral describes it as "lncRNA (ENSSSCG00015060414.1)". The record is from RNAcentral. Lineage: Eukaryota; Metazoa; Chordata; Mammalia; Artiodactyla; Suidae.